GAACCAGCAACUUGCAGGAAUGAGAGUUAAUAUAAUAAGUUAUUAACUUGCUUGACUAGGUCUUAUAAAGUUCUGGAUAAAGCUUAUUAUGAAAACUUUAUAUCCAUAGGUCUCGACCAAAUCUUGUGCCAGCAGUCGCGGUAAGACAAGGGAGACGAGUGUUAUUCAUCUUUAACAGGUAUAUAGGGUACCUAGACGGUGUGCAAUGGCUUAAAUAAGUACCUGGUACACUUGAGUUUGAUAUGUGAGAGGAAUAUGUCGGAAUUGUUGGAGUAGAGAUGAAAUGUACUAAUACCAAUAGGACUGAUAACGGCGAAGGCAAACCUCUAUGUACAUGUACUUGCUAUUUCUAUUUGUUUAUUUUUUUUUCAUUAGAAAAAAAAAACUAAAAAUCUCUUAUAAAAUAUAUAAGAUAGAUAAAGAGGAAAAGAGCAAUGUACUAUAACUGACGUUGAGGGACGAAGGCUCAGAGAGUGAAGAGGAUUAGAUACCCCCGUAACCUGGGCAGACAAUGAUG
This 517-nucleotide ribosomal RNA is filed under the name Alternaria brassicae. RNAcentral's name for it is "partial small subunit ribosomal RNA". It matches the Rfam family "Bacterial small subunit ribosomal RNA", at positions 385 to 811 of the family's 1533-position model. Lineage: Eukaryota; Fungi; Ascomycota; Dothideomycetes; Pleosporales; Pleosporaceae. The record is from RNAcentral.